RNAcentral lists this ribosomal RNA (252 nucleotides) under uncultured bacterium. RNAcentral's name for it is "partial 16S ribosomal RNA". It matches the Rfam family "Bacterial small subunit ribosomal RNA", at positions 524 to 776 of the family's 1533-position model. The record is from RNAcentral.
UACAGAGGUCUCAAGCGUUGUUCGGAUUCAUUGGGCGUAAAGGGUGCGUAGGUGGCGUGGUAAGUCGGGUGUGAAAUUUCGGAGCUUAACUCCGAAACUGCAUUCGAUACUGCCGUGCUUGAGGACUGGAGAGGAGACUGGAAUUUACGGUGUAGCGGUGAAAUGCGUAGAUAUCGUAAGGAAGACCAGUGGCGAAGGCGGGUCUCUGGACAGUUCCUGACGCUGAGGCACGAAGGCAGGGGAGCAAACGGG